Molecule: ribosomal RNA, 402 nt
Filed under: uncultured Hyphomicrobiales bacterium
Lineage: Bacteria; Pseudomonadati; Pseudomonadota; Alphaproteobacteria; Hyphomicrobiales
Description: uncultured Rhizobiales bacterium partial 16S ribosomal RNA
Rfam family: Bacterial small subunit ribosomal RNA
Source: RNAcentral
UGGGGAAUAUUGGACAAUGGGCGCAAGCCUGAUCCAGCCAUGCCGCGUGGGUGAAGAAGGCCUUAGGGUUGUAAACCCCUUUCAGCGGGGAAGAUAAUGACGGUACCCGCAGAAGAAGUCCCGGCUAACUCCGUGCCAGCAGCCGCGGUAAUACGGAGGGGACUAGCGUUGUUCGGAAUUACUGGGCGUAAAGCGCACGUAGGCGGAUUGUUAAGUCAGGGGUGAAAUCCCGAGGCUCAACCUCGGAACUGCCUUUGAUACUGGCAAUCUCGAGUCCGGAAGAGGUGAGUGGAAUUCCUAGUGUAGAGGUGAAAUUCGUAGAUAUUAGGAAGAACACCAGUGGCGAAGGCGGCUCACUGGUCCGGUACUGACGCUGAGGUGCGAAAGCGUGGGGAGCAAACA